RNAcentral lists this ribosomal RNA (467 nucleotides) under uncultured bacterium. Its description in RNAcentral is "partial 16S ribosomal RNA". It matches the Rfam family "Bacterial small subunit ribosomal RNA", at positions 28 to 507 of the family's 1533-position model. The record is from RNAcentral.
GACGAACGCUGGCGGCGUGCUUAACACAUGCAAGUCGAACGGAAAGGCCCUGCUUUUGUGGGGUGCUCGAGUGGCGAACGGGUGAGUAACACGUGAGUAACCUGCCCUUGACUUUGGGAUAACUUCAGGAAACUGGGGCUAAUACCGGAUAGGAGCUCCUGCUGCAUGGUGGGGGUUGGAAAGUUUCGGCGGUUGGGGAUGGACUCGCGGCUUAUCAGCUUGUUGGUGGGGUAGUGGCUUACCAAGGCUUUGACGGGUAGCCGGCCUGAGAGGGUGACCGGCCACAUUGGGACUGAGAUACGGCCCAGACUCCUACGGGCGGCAGCAGUGGGGAAUAUUGCACAAUGGGCGGAAGCCUGAUGCAGCAACGCCGCGUGCGGGAUGACGGCCUUCGGGUUGUAACCGCUUUCGCCUGUGACGAAGCGUGAGUGACGGUAAUGGGUAAAGAAGCACCGGCUAACUACGUG